This is a long non-coding RNA of Cavia porcellus (domestic guinea pig), 2712 nucleotides long. RefSeq lists it as uncharacterized. NCBI's taxonomy places the organism in Eukaryota, Metazoa, Chordata, Mammalia, Rodentia, Caviidae. The record is from RefSeq and is a predicted model, not a curated record. The transcript is spliced from 2 exons.
UUUCACCUGACAGAGAGGGGACAGGGAGACCCAUGGGUUCAGGGCCCUGGGCUCAGGGAGUGCGCGUGGGUCAGCGAGGAAGGUCAGGGCCGGGUGGGCAGCACCGCUUGACCCGUGAGAGGCUGCCCUGCAGGACCCCGUCCGAUGGCACACACACCUGUGACCCUGGCACUCAGGAGGCUGAAACAGGAGGGUCCAGGCAUCCUGGGCAACCAGUGAGGCCUUGUCUUUAAAGCAUCUUGAGAUUUUUCAAUAUAUAAAUCAGUAAGAUGACUGUCACGGAGAUGGUAUGGUACUGACCCAAGACGAGACCCCCAGACCGAAGAGAGGGAUGAGAAAUGCAGCCAGAAACGGGACAGCAGUUCCUCCAGAGGAGCAUCAAGGGCACCAGGAGAAGAAGAGGAAGCGCGGUGUCACCCAGGACAGGCUGUGCAGCUGAGUGCCUCGAGGCUUGUGGGCUCCCUGUCCACCGGGGGCUUUCGGCCUGGCUCCCAGGAAUCUCUCAUCUGCUGUGCCAAACUGACAGAGGAGGAGACAGCUGGCUGUCAAAGGAGCAGGCGCCUGGUUCCUUGAGCAGAAGAGCCCGGGAAAAGAGCGAGAUGCCAACGACAGAGAAAGAGACUGAGCUGAAGGAGGCCUGUGGAAUGUGGUGGAAAAGACAGGCCAGGUUAGCCAGGCUCACCUCUAGUAAAGAAAGCAAUGUAUCCCCUGCCCGGAGACAACUCUACCACCACCUGGUGGUCACACGUGGGAAGUGCAUUUCUGGCUCUCACAUCACCUUGGCGUGACUGCGAGAGCCCAGCAGAGGGCGCUCUGGCCUCGUUUUCAACCACGGUGCUUCCAGGGACCCGAGAGCAGGCCGCACUCCCUGGAGGACCCGGAGCCUCGCGGGUCUGCGCCCUACUGCAGCCCGGCGUCGAGCAGGCGCAUGCGCACGGUGUUUAGCAGCCCCAGGGACGCUGACUCAGGGUUUAAAGUCUGAUCCUACUGUUGGCGGCUGAGUGCGACCAGGAUAAGAAUGCAGGGCGACCCACCUGCCCUGCUGACGCAUGGUUCUCGGAUCCGGGUGUCUCUGACGCUUUGGGCUAACUGUUCUAACUCAGAAAUUUCCUGACACUGUGGAGGAUGGAAAGUGCCCUGGCCUGGAGCUUUCUCCUACUUCUGCCUUAACUGGCCACGCUGCCCUGUCACGUCUGGUUUCCCACUUAAGGAGAGGUUGAGUGUUUAUCCUUUAGGUCUGUGAAUAUAUGUACUUUUGUGCUUCGCACUUAAGCUGUGACUAUGCUGAGUCUUAUGCACCCAUGUGUAUCCAUCAUGUAUUUACGCAUCCACUCACAUUAUUUACCCAUCGUCAGCUGACUGAUGGAUCCAUCCAUCCAUCCACAUCAGCCCACCCAUCCAUUUACCCAUCAGCCACCCAUCCACACGUCUACCCAGUGAACCGCCCCCUGUCCACCCAUCUUUCCAUUUCCAAACUCAUCCACCAUUCAUUUUCAUUUUUGUAUCCAUCCACCCUCACUCUAUCCACAUCUAUGAAUCUAUCCAUUUCUUUCCACACAUGCAGUGAACCAUUUAUCCAUUAAUCCAUGAUCCAUUCACCUAUUUUCCAUCUAGCUAUCCAGCAGUCCAUCCGUGCAUCUGUCCAUCCAGCAACUAUUACCGACAGCAAACACUCAGAGGAGGCCAGAGAACAGUAUGACCAUGGCACCGUCCUCCCGGAGCUCAGGGCUGGGCCAGGAGAGAGCUGAAAGAGUCACCUUGUGUCCCUGAGGUAUCUCAUGGUCACGGAAGCACAGCUUCCUAUCCAGCACAGAGGACGUGGGUCUAACCCAGAUGGAGGAGGCCAGAGGACAUACCCAGGCUGGAACCCUCCACAAGGAAAGGCUGAAAAAGAGCGUUCAGGACAGAAGAGCCCGGGCACAGCCUGGCACCAAGUGAACAAUGAGGGGGCCGAGGAGCGCGGUGGCAUUCAGCACGGUGCUGAGCGCAGGCCAGAGAGGCAGGUCCCCGGCCUUCGGAAGCUGCCGCCCUGUGACCGUGACCUGGGUGGGAGGCUGAUUUCCCGGCGCACCCCGUUCCUUCUCCUCUCCUUCUCUUCUCCCGGGUGCUCAGCUGUGGCCAGGCCCCAGCAGCCGUGGCGGGCGCAGAGCUGAGCGGCACCCCACCAGCUCCGGGAAGCCCACGCGUGGCUGGAAAGCCCCGUUCUAGAUUCGGGAAGCCGCUGGGGGCUCUGCACCCCUCGGCCUCGGGCUCGCAUCCCGGGAGGCUUCAGGACUGUGCCUCCUCCCAGAGGCCACCGGCACCGUCUGGGCUGUCCUCACCCCAGGAACACUCACCCAGGGCGUUGAAGGCGGUCUGCACCUUGAAGGUGACCUUCUGCUCCCUCGUCAGCACCGUGAAUGUGGUCCCAAAGGUCUCGCACUCAAGCAGCUUGCUGUAGCUUCUCAAACUGCCCGUCAGCUGGUGCACGAUCUCUUCGAGGGUUUUGUGCUGAGGUUUCAUCUGAUCGCGGAACUGUUGUAAUUCAUCCAGGAAGAAGACGAGGGUGCCGUCAGAGUCGCCUUUCAACAUUGUCUUCCUGCCGAAGGAGCCACCCUGCAGGUAAAAGAAUAGCAGAUACGAGACUCGACCCUUUCAAAUUCAAUUACAGGGGGCUCCAGCAGCCGGUAACAUUCCUCAAGUGAAAGCCAAAAAAUGUUGCCAUCAUCCUAA